CCAAAGGCUCUUCUAAGAGCCACCCACCUCUUCUAAAGACAGUUU
Gasterosteus aculeatus (three-spined stickleback) is the source of this 45-nucleotide regulatory RNA element. It matches the Rfam family "Histone 3' UTR stem-loop". From Rfam's summary of the family: The mRNAs of metazoan histone genes lack a poly-A tail. 3' end processing occurs at a site between a highly conserved stem-loop (modelled by this family) and a purine rich region around 20 nts downstream (the histone downstream element, or HDE). The record is from Rfam. Lineage: Eukaryota; Metazoa; Chordata; Actinopteri; Perciformes; Gasterosteidae.